RNAcentral lists this transfer RNA (86 nucleotides) under Puccinia triticina 1-1 BBBD Race 1. It matches the Rfam family "tRNA". From Rfam's summary of the family: Transfer RNA (tRNA) molecules are approximately 80 nucleotides in length. Their secondary structure includes four short double-helical elements and three loops (D, anti-codon, and T loops). Further hydrogen bonds mediate the characteristic L-shaped molecular structure. tRNAs have two regions of fundamental functional importance: the anti-codon, which is responsible for specific mRNA codon recognition, and the 3' end, to which the tRNAs corresponding amino acid is attached (by aminoacyl-tRNA synthetases). tRNAs cope with the degeneracy of the genetic code in two manners: having more than one tRNA (with a specific anti-codon) for a particular amino acid; and 'wobble' base-pairing, i.e. permitting non-standard base-pairing at the 3rd anti-codon position. The record is from Rfam by way of RNAcentral. Lineage: Eukaryota; Fungi; Basidiomycota; Pucciniomycetes; Pucciniales; Pucciniaceae.
NCGUCUGUAGCCUAGUUGGUAAAGGCAGCACUCUAGUAUGUGUCUCAGCAUAGCUGAGGUCGUGAGUUCGACUCUCACCAGACACA